Molecule: ribosomal RNA, 470 nt
Filed under: uncultured bacterium
Lineage: Bacteria
Description: SSU rRNA
Rfam family: Bacterial small subunit ribosomal RNA
Source: RNAcentral
AGAACGAACGCUGGCGGCAUGCCUAACACAUGCAAGUCGAACGCUUUUGGGGCUUCGGUCCCAAAGGAGUGGCGCACGGGUGAGUAGCGCGUGGGAACCUGCCCUGUUGUGGGGGAUAACCGAGGGAAACUUCGGCUAAUACCGCAUAAGCCGGUUGUCUUGAAGGAGAUGGCCGGGAAAGAUUUAUCGCGACAGGAGGGGCCCGCGUCGGAUUAGCUAGUUGGUGGGGUAACGGCCCACCAAGGCGGUGAUCCGUAGCUGGUCUGAGAGGAUGAUCAGCCACACUGGGACUGAGACACGGCCCAGACUCCUACGGGAGGCAGCAGUGGGGAAUAUUGGACAAUGGGCGCAAGCCUGAUCCAGCAAUGCCGCGUGAGUGAUGAAGGCCUUAGGGUUGUAAAGCUCUUUCGCCCGCGACGAUGAUGACGGUAGCGGGAGAGAAGCCCGGCUAACUUCGUGCCAGCAGCCGC